GCUGCCGUGAUCGUGGUCUGCAGCACGCGC
This 30-nucleotide small nuclear RNA is filed under the name Arabidopsis thaliana (thale cress). RNAcentral describes it as "snRNA_14002". The record is from RNAcentral. Lineage: Eukaryota; Viridiplantae; Streptophyta; Magnoliopsida; Brassicales; Brassicaceae.